This 468-nucleotide ribosomal RNA is filed under the name uncultured bacterium. RNAcentral describes it as "partial 16S ribosomal RNA". It matches the Rfam family "Bacterial small subunit ribosomal RNA", at positions 28 to 507 of the family's 1533-position model. The record is from RNAcentral.
GACGAACGCUGGCGGCGUGCUUAACACAUGCAAGUCGAACGGAAAGGCCCUGCUUUUGUGGGGUGCUCGAGUGGCGAACGGGUGAGUAACACGUGAGUAACCUGCCCUUGACUUUGGGAUAACUUCAGGAAACUGGGGCUAAUACCGGAUAGGAGCUCCUGCUGCAUGGUGGGGGUUGGAAAGUUUCGGCGGUUGGGGAUGGACUCGCGGCUUAUCAGCUUGUUGGUGGGGUAGUGGCUUACCAAGGUUUUGACGGGUAGGCGGCCUGAGAGGGUGACCGGCCACAUUGGGACUGAGAGACGGCCCAGACUCCUACGGGAGGCAGCAGUGGGGAAUAUUGCGCAAUGGGCGGAAGCCUGAUGCAGCAACGCCGCGUGCGGGAUGACGGCCUUCGGGUUGUAAACCGCUUUCGCCUGUGACGAAGCGUGAGUGACGGUAAUGGGUAAAGAAGCACCGGCUAACUACGUG